CGGGAUGUGGCGCAGUUGGUAGCGCACUACGUUCGGGACGUAGGGGUCGCUGGUUCGAGUCCAGUCAUCCCGACCG
Molecule: transfer RNA, 76 nt
Filed under: Bacteroidota bacterium
Lineage: Bacteria; Pseudomonadati; Bacteroidota
Description: Bacteroidetes bacterium (freshwater metagenome) tRNA-Pro
Rfam family: tRNA
About the family: Transfer RNA (tRNA) molecules are approximately 80 nucleotides in length. Their secondary structure includes four short double-helical elements and three loops (D, anti-codon, and T loops).
Source: RNAcentral